ACGGGUGACAGGUGGUGCAUGGUUUGUCGUCAGCUCGUGUCGUGAGAUGUUGGUUAAGUCCCGCAACGAGCGCAACCCUCGACCUUAGUUUGCCAGCAUUCAGUUGGGCACUCUAAGGUGACUGCCGGCUAAAAGUCGGAGGAAGGUGGGGAUGACGUCAAAUCAUCAUGCCCCUUAUGACCUGGGCUACACACGUGCUACAAUGGGCGGUACAAAGGGUCGCGAACCCGCGAGGGGGAGCCAAUCCCAAAAAGCCGCUCUCAGUUCGGAUUGCAGGCUGCAACUCGCCUGCAUGAAGCCGGAAUCGCUAGUAAUCGCGGAUCAGCACGCCGCGGUGAAUACGUUCCCGGGCCUU
This 355-nucleotide ribosomal RNA is filed under the name uncultured Anoxybacillus sp. RNAcentral's name for it is "bacterial SSU rRNA". It matches the Rfam family "Bacterial small subunit ribosomal RNA", at positions 1027 to 1382 of the family's 1533-position model. Lineage: Bacteria; Bacillati; Bacillota; Bacilli; Caryophanales; Anoxybacillaceae. The record is from RNAcentral.